GAUGAACGCUGGCGGCGUGCCUAACACAUGCAAGUCGAGCGGAGAAUUGUUGCUUGCAACAAUUCUUAGCGGCGGACGGGUGAGUAACACGUGGGUAACCUGCCCUAAACAAAGGGAUAACAAUGAGAAAUCAUUGCUAAUACCGUAUAAGCUUACACUAUCGCAUGAUAGAGUAAGAAAAGAUUUAUCGGUUUAGGAGGGGCCCGCGUCUGAUUAGCUAGUUGGAGAGGUAACGGCUCACCAAGGCGACGAUCAGUAGCCGACCUGAGAGGGUGAUCGGACACAUUGAGACUGAGACACGGCACAAACUCCUGCGGGGGGCAGCAGUGGAGAAUAUUGCACAAUGGAGGAAACUCUGAUGCAGCAGCGCCGCGUGAAGGAAGAAGGUUUUCGGAGCGUAAACUUCUAUCUACAGGGGAGAAAAAAAUGACGGUACCUGAGGAAGAAGCCCCGGCUAACUACGUG
RNAcentral lists this ribosomal RNA (465 nucleotides) under uncultured bacterium. Its description in RNAcentral is "partial 16S ribosomal RNA". It matches the Rfam family "Bacterial small subunit ribosomal RNA", at positions 28 to 507 of the family's 1533-position model. The record is from RNAcentral.